AAACAUAAACCCUUUUCUUGAUUUAUGUGCUUGUUCUUUGCCUAAACUUCCAUGGUAGGUUAUGUCCUCACCUGUGUAACCGGAGAGUUUGCUCUCUUUGGAAAGCUUGGUUGCAGAUUUCACACACCAAUCUGUUUGUAGCUAAAAGUUACAACAGUUUACAUUGAUUUUUUUUAAUUAUUUUCAUUAAAUUGUGAUUAGAAUUUAAAUAGGAGAAUUUAUUGUUUUGAAGGCUCACA
This 239-nucleotide unclassified non-coding RNA is filed under the name Hevea brasiliensis (rubber tree). The record is from RNAcentral. Lineage: Eukaryota; Viridiplantae; Streptophyta; Magnoliopsida; Malpighiales; Euphorbiaceae.